RNAcentral lists this ribosomal RNA (497 nucleotides) under uncultured bacterium. RNAcentral describes it as "partial 16S ribosomal RNA". It matches the Rfam family "Bacterial small subunit ribosomal RNA", at positions 28 to 507 of the family's 1533-position model. The record is from RNAcentral.
GACGAACGCUGGCGGCGUGCCUAAUACAUGCAAGUAGAACGCUGAAGAGAGGAGCUUGCUCUUCUUGGAUGAGUUGCGAACGGGUGAGUAACGCGUAGGUAGCCUGCCUUGUAGCGGGGGAUAACUAUUGGAAACGAUAGCUAAUACCGCAUAACAAUAGGUGACACAUGUCAUUUAUUUGAAAGGGGCAAUUGCUCCACUACAAGAUGGACCUGCGUUGUAUUAGCUAGUAGGUGAGGUAACGGCUCACCUAGGCGACGAUACAUAGCCGACCUGAGAGGGUGAUCGGCCACACUGGGACUGAGACACGGCCCAGACUCCUACGGGAGGCAGCAGGAGGGAAUCUUCGGCAAUGGGGGCAACCCUGACCGAGCAACGCCGCGUGAGUGAAGAAGGUUUUCGGAUCGUAAAGCUCUGUUGUAAGUCAAGAACGAGUGUGAGAGUGGAAAGUUCACACUGUGACGGUAGCUUACCAGAAAGGGACGGCUAACUACGUG